UUCAGCAGUAGACAGGAUAGGUAGGAGCACGGCAGGGAGCAAGGAAAGACAAAUUGAUUACAUUUAUUUAAAUGCGAAAGGUUUGACAGGUAAAAUGGAUGAAGUCAGUCUGUGAAUCAGUAAAUGC
Molecule: long non-coding RNA, 127 nt
Organism: Amblyraja radiata (thorny skate)
Lineage: Eukaryota; Metazoa; Chordata; Chondrichthyes; Rajiformes; Rajidae
Exons: 3
Source: RefSeq, a predicted model, not a curated record